This 301-nucleotide ribosomal RNA is filed under the name uncultured bacterium. Its description in RNAcentral is "partial 16S ribosomal RNA". It matches the Rfam family "Bacterial small subunit ribosomal RNA", at positions 509 to 807 of the family's 1533-position model. The record is from RNAcentral.
CAGCAGCCACGGGAAUACGAAGGGGGCUAGCGUUGUUCGGAUUUACUGGGCGUAAAGGGCGCGUAGGCGGACUGAUAAGUCAGGGGUGAAAUCCCAAGGCUCAACCUUGGAACUGCCUUUGAUACUGUUUGUCUUGAGUUCGAGAGAGGUAAGUGGAACUGCGAGUGUAGAGGUGAAAUUCGUAGAUAUUCGCAAGAACACCAGUGGCGAAGGCGGCUUACAGGCUCGAAACUGACGCUGAGGCGCGAAAGCGUGGGGAGCAAACAGGAUUAGAUACCCGCGUAGUCCCUGUCUCUUAUAC